CCCUUAGAUGUUCUGGGCCGCACGCGCGCUACACUGAUGCAUUCAACGAGUCUAAAACCUGGUCUGAUAGGGCUGGGUAAUCUUUUGAAUGUGCAUCGUGAUUGGGAUAGAUGAUUGCAAUUCUUCAUCUUCAACGAGGAAUGCCUAGUAAACGCGAGUCAUCAGCUCGCGUUGAUUACGUCCCUGCCCUUUGUACACACCGCCCGUCGCUACUACCGAUUGGAUGGAUUAGUGAGACCCUCGGACUGGAACCUAGAGGCGGUGGUUCAUCCACCAAAUCUUGGAGCCGGGAAGAAGGUCAAACUUGUCUAUCUAGAGGAAGUAAAAGUCGUAACA
Molecule: ribosomal RNA, 336 nt
Filed under: uncultured eukaryote
Lineage: Eukaryota
Description: partial 18S ribosomal RNA
Rfam family: Eukaryotic small subunit ribosomal RNA
Source: RNAcentral